Felis catus (domestic cat) is the source of this 85-nucleotide transfer RNA. It matches the Rfam family "tRNA". Rfam says of the family: Transfer RNA (tRNA) molecules are approximately 80 nucleotides in length. Their secondary structure includes four short double-helical elements and three loops (D, anti-codon, and T loops). Further hydrogen bonds mediate the characteristic L-shaped molecular structure. tRNAs have two regions of fundamental functional importance: the anti-codon, which is responsible for specific mRNA codon recognition, and the 3' end, to which the tRNAs corresponding amino acid is attached (by aminoacyl-tRNA synthetases). tRNAs cope with the degeneracy of the genetic code in two manners: having more than one tRNA (with a specific anti-codon) for a particular amino acid; and 'wobble' base-pairing, i.e. permitting non-standard base-pairing at the 3rd anti-codon position. NCBI's taxonomy places the organism in Eukaryota, Metazoa, Chordata, Mammalia, Carnivora, Felidae. The record is from Rfam.
GCCUGGGUGGCUCAGUCAGUUGAGCAUCUGACUUCCACUCAGGUCAUGAUCUCGCGGUUCAUGAGUUCGAGUCCCGUGUCGGGCU